GGGGCGAUGCCCGAGUGGCUAAUGGGGACGGACUGUAAAUCCGUUGGCUUUGCCUACGCUGGUUCAAAUCCAGCUCGCCCCA
This 82-nucleotide transfer RNA is filed under the name Spirogyra maxima. RNAcentral's name for it is "tRNA-Tyr". It matches the Rfam family "tRNA". From Rfam's summary of the family: Transfer RNA (tRNA) molecules are approximately 80 nucleotides in length. Their secondary structure includes four short double-helical elements and three loops (D, anti-codon, and T loops). Lineage: Eukaryota; Viridiplantae; Streptophyta; Zygnematophyceae; Spirogyrales; Spirogyraceae. The record is from RNAcentral.